CAGUGUCACAGCUCUUUUAUAAUUUGUCUAGGAGGUUUUCUGGUUUCUUCACCAGAACCCUC
Molecule: small nuclear RNA, 62 nt
Filed under: Macaca fascicularis (crab-eating macaque)
Lineage: Eukaryota; Metazoa; Chordata; Mammalia; Primates; Cercopithecidae
Description: U7 small nuclear RNA (ENSMFAG00000061103.1)
Rfam family: U7 small nuclear RNA
About the family: Animal histone pre-mRNAs are spliced by a different mechanism than nuclear pre-mRNAs and self-splicing introns. This processing involves the U7 snRNP, which contains only one RNA species: U7.
Source: Rfam by way of RNAcentral